Syngnathus acus (greater pipefish) is the source of this 1372-nucleotide long non-coding RNA. RefSeq lists it as uncharacterized. The transcript is spliced from 2 exons. The record is from RefSeq and is a predicted model, not a curated record. NCBI's taxonomy places the organism in Eukaryota, Metazoa, Chordata, Actinopteri, Syngnathiformes, Syngnathidae.
UAUCCUCACAUGCACCUCAUUCUAGAACUGACUUCAUCACAUGACUCAUGUUUGCUGUGCAUCGCCCGUCUCCUGGAGUUUGUUUAAGAAGCUGACAGUCAUCAAGUCUCCACUGCAAACAAGCCUGACCCCUCGAGGAACCUCGUGGAGCUCCAGGUCUGUCUGUCUGUCUGUCUAUUUCGUUAAUCCAUUUUCAUUCAGAAAAUGGCACCACUCAUCUGUUGAUCCUUCCUCCUCACUUUGAUUUAGGGAUCUUUGGUGUUGCCUGGAGGUGUGCGCACCUGGUGUGACUGUUUUGAGGAUACUUUGUGGUGAAGGCAUGCCCGGGCUCUGUGACUCAGCGUGGGCGGCAGCAAGCUGCAGUGGAACACUUUGCUUGCCAAAGGAAGACCCAGUGACUCAGUUGGACUCCAUGCAUGAGUGUUUGUCAAAGGAGACAUGAAGUAUACUACAAAGUGAGAUCAGAUAGAGUUUUAAAUGACAAAACAUAAAUACUAUAAUGGAUAGCCUUGCAGGCAUGGAGCAAUUAGUAUGAUGAACUCCGUCAAACCACAUGAUAAAGUUACCAGGACAUAGGAAUCUCCUGAUCUAAGUUGUUAGCAGCAAUUUUAUUUCGAUCUUUAAAAUGAUUUGUGUUGUCUGUCAGUUUUUGAGAACGAUUUGGAAUAUUUUUAAAGCAUCAUCAUUUUGGACUCUAAAAACCUUAAGAAGCAAUUGUACCAAAAUGACAUCAUUGGCUGGAAAUAAUAACGGAGAGCACAACCCUAUCGUGUGGGCGCCAAAUUGCAGCGAUCAUAAAAACUGAACGUGUCACCGCUUGUGGGAGUGUGUAAAAUGGAUCCUGGAGGAGUUUUGUUUUGUCCUGAGCGUUGUGGCAGCCUUGAAGUUAACAUCAGCACUUUCCGGCCCCCGCUCUUUGUACAUAGACUAAACUGUGGCGCCUGGGACACAUAACGGAAACAUGAUAACAUGCCAUGUGCAAAUACAGAGGAGGAUAGUAAUUAUGACAUAAAAAGACACCCCCCAGAAACUCUUUUUUGUUUCUUUCUCUUUUCAGCAGUUUUUUCAGCCGGAGGCAGCGGGUGAUACAUCAGUCUGGUGACCAGGUCAGGGUGUAAUUCAUCUUUACACAUCUUUGCCCAGCUGGGAUAGGCUCCACUCCAGCUCCUUGUGACCUCCUCAACAGGAAGAGAAUGGAUGGGUGGAUUAAGAAGAUAAGAAUGGAUGAAUGGAUGGCUUAAGAAGUCGUAUAAUUAUUUUAUUUUUGGCCCUAAGCCCCACCCUUAGAGUACACUUGUGGGGUGUUACUUAUUCCAGUCAUUGGGGUAAAGGCAAGUCCAGUCAAUGAAUGCACAACAACAGAUGUAACGGU